UGGGGAAUAUUGGACAAUGGGCGCAAGCCUGAUCCAGCCAUGCCGCGUGAGUGAUGAAGGCCUUAGGGUUGUAAAGCUCUUUUGGCGGGGACGAUAAUGACGGUACCCGCAGAAUAAGUCCCGGCUAACUUCGUGCCAGCAGCCGCGGUAAUACGAAGGGGACUAGCGUUGUUCGGAAUCACUGGGCGUAAAGCGCACGUAGGCGGAUAUGUCAGUCAGGGGUGAAAUCCCGGGGCUCAACCUCGGAACUGCCUUUGAUACAGCAUGUCUUGAGUCCGAUAGAGGUGGGUGGAAUUCCUAGUGUAGAGGUGAAAUUCGUAGAUAUUAGGAAGAACACCGGUGGCGAAGGCGGCCCACUGGAUCGGUACUGACGCUGAGGUGCGAAAGCGUGGGGAGCAAACA
RNAcentral lists this ribosomal RNA (402 nucleotides) under uncultured Hyphomicrobium sp. RNAcentral describes it as "bacterial SSU rRNA". It matches the Rfam family "Bacterial small subunit ribosomal RNA", at positions 355 to 774 of the family's 1533-position model. Lineage: Bacteria; Pseudomonadati; Pseudomonadota; Alphaproteobacteria; Hyphomicrobiales; Hyphomicrobiaceae. The record is from RNAcentral.